GAAAAUUAAAUGGAAAUACUAUAAAGAAAUUGAAUCAUGUCUCCAAUAGGUUACAUCAAACCCUAGAUUUAAUAACUUAGUUCAUGAUUGACAAGAACAUGAUAAAAUACAAAUUAAAUUGCAUGAAGAAGAGAAAGAUAAGAAAAAACUCAGGUUGCUGCUCUAUUUCUCAAUCUUAUGGCUUGAUUUCUCAGUUUCUCCCUUCUUCUUCUCCAAAAUCGGGUCGAUCUUCUCUCAAUUGGUGCCUCUCUUUUUCUUGCCUCUUCAGCCGUCUAACCCCGUUCUCUUGUUCUUCAGCUGGGUAUUUAUAUUUUCUAAGGGUCCUCAAGGGUUAGGGUAUAAUUUUUUUGGGCCGAAAAAAUACUUAAAAACUCGGGUUUUAACGUUUUGGGAACAGGCGCCAUGGCGCCUAGGUCUGGCGCCACGUCUCUGCUCGCUUUUUCUUCAUUGGGCGCCAUGGUGCCCAAGUCUGGCGCCGUGGCACCCAAGGUUCUGCUUCUUUUUUUCUUCAUUGGGCACCAUGGCGCCUAGGUCUGGCGCCCAGGUAUGUGUUGGAAUUGUAUCCAUGGCGCUCCUUUUUCGACGCCGUGGUGCCAAUGCCACUGCUUUGCUUCUCUUCUCUUUGUUUUUCCAAGCCUAUUUUUCACUCCAAUCUUAUUCAAUACUUGCUUAUUCAUGCUCCAUUUCAUUGAUCAUUAUUUUUUGCUCAUCACCGGCUCCUAAUAGUGGUAUUUUCUCGAGAGUUGUCCAAACUGCAAAACAACACUAACACACACAUCAAAACGUUCAAAAAUGCUCAAGAACACAUCAAAAAACUUGAUUUAGAAGCUUUAGUUUAAUGAGUGAAUUACACUCAUCAAACACCCCCAAACUUAGUUCUUUGCUUGUCCUCGAGCAAAUACAAAACUAAAGAUAAUUAUUAACGAGCACAAAAACACGACUAAGACAGACAAAGUCACUCAAAAGAAACUUUAUGUUAGACACCUUGCAUUUAUUACUCAAGAUCAAGAACACAGCGUCAAAUUCAUGAAGUACUUCAAAACUAUAAUGCAGGCGUCAAAUCCUCGCUCAUUCAAUGCAAAUGGGUGUGUGUGUGGAGAGUUAAGUAUAACGCUGUACAAUAAUAAGUUGAUCCAAUUCCCGACCUUAGAAGUCAAAUUUUUCCUUACUUCGCUCGUGGGAUUCACACACCCGCAAGCUUAUUUUCUUUUCUCUUUCCAAGGGUAUAACCUAAGGUUAAAUUUUCAAUACUAAUUUCUUACACCACUCAAGUUUGGUUAGAUUUUACUGAUUGUAGUUCCACAUGUCAACAAAUGAGGAUUCUCCUUAUUUUCUAUUGUUUCAACCUCUAGGAAUCAACCAAAUUACUAACCUCUUAUCAAAGGUCUAAUCCUCUAAAACAGGUAUUCAGGGCUUAAUCAAGGCAUUUGAUAUCUAUUUUUUUCUCUCUCUCUCUUUUUUUAUAUAUAUAUAAAUGUAUUCUUUAAACACCCUUUGUGUGGACGUCACUCCCUCAAGCUUUCUAAAUGACCCUUGUAACGAGCUUUAGGCCGAUGACUCCCAAAUCAGACAAGUUUAGGGCACCAGGUUUUAAACCCUUACAGGCUUAAUUAUUCGAGUCAUAAAGGCUACGAAGAGAGGAUUCACAAUGAGAUUAUUAAAGUUGUCCUCAUUGGGAUCUUUUUUAUGCAAUGAUUAGUGCAAUACCCCUUAAAUAACACCUAUUCUCGAAAAUCGACCUCUAACUUAAAGUUUUCACCCAAUUUUCAUCAUAUUAGUCUCAGACAAUUCACACAAAAUUUAGCACACAUGGAAUCCACAUUUAUCUCCAAGUUUUCCUGCAACAGCUUAACCUACCAAACAGCCUAUAUUUGAUUUAAGAGUAUAAUAGUGUUUAAAAGUAGUUUGGGUUUAGCAUCUAAGUUUUCUUAUUCAACCUGUAAAUAUAGAUCAACCUACUCAUGUACAACGCUACAAUCAACCCACGUACAAAAAUAAUUUCCGUUUCACACGAAUAAGCAAAAAUCUAACUCACACAUGUAACUUAUCCAUAAUCCAUGAACCAAUACAUGUUCUUAAUAUUAUACAUCAUUGUCAGCAAGACUAUCUAACUCACACAAGCAUGCAA
Molecule: long non-coding RNA, 2128 nt
Filed under: Olea europaea (common olive)
Lineage: Eukaryota; Viridiplantae; Streptophyta; Magnoliopsida; Lamiales; Oleaceae
Description: long non-coding RNA (OEUR_LNC007166)
Source: RNAcentral